Molecule: long non-coding RNA, 612 nt
Filed under: Medicago truncatula (barrel medic)
Lineage: Eukaryota; Viridiplantae; Streptophyta; Magnoliopsida; Fabales; Fabaceae
Description: lncRNA gene49690
Source: RNAcentral
CCCCAAUAUACUCUACACAAUGCCUGUAUUCACAAAUCAUAAGCACUAAACCAUGAAGUUAAAUUCAUAAAACAUUAGUAGUGUACCAUCACCCUGCUAUAUAAUAUGCAUUAAUCUAUUUUCUACUCUCUGAUGAUAUCAGUCAUAUGCAUGCUUGAAUUAGGUACAUUUAUUUAUCAUAAACUGAAAUCUCUGGAUUUUGGAACACUGUUGCAAUCUGCAGGUCCCCAUCCAAUCAACUGCUUCUCGUUGUCGAAUACCAUCACUUUGUCUAGCAUGGAUAUGUCUGCAUAAAAAAUAAUACCAACACUUACAUAACAUAAUGCAGAGUUCAUGAAUCUUUUUUUUUUUUUUUUUUUUUUUAUAAACUGCUGAACAAUGUAAUGAUGAUAUCCAUGACUAUCUAUGUAGCACCGACACUUCAAACUGAAGGUGUGUCUGGUGUGCAAGACAUGUCUGGCACAAGACUGACACAAGUGAAUAUAUUCAUUACUUUCAUGUCGUGUUUGUAUUUGUUUCGAUGCUUCAUAGAUUAUUAUCCAAAAUACGACAAUGUAGCUAAAUUCUCACCUCCAAUUAGGUUCAGUUCACCCAAUCCUACUUCAGGGCCGU